RNAcentral lists this ribosomal RNA (494 nucleotides) under uncultured bacterium. Its description in RNAcentral is "partial 16S ribosomal RNA". It matches the Rfam family "Bacterial small subunit ribosomal RNA", at positions 28 to 507 of the family's 1533-position model. The record is from RNAcentral.
GACGAACGCUGGCGGCGUGCUUAACACAUGCAAGUCGAACGGUGAAGCGCCUUCCUUUUUGGUGGGUGUGGAUGAGUGGCGAACGGGUGAGUAACACGUGAGUAACCUGCCCCCUUCUUCUGGAUAACCGCAUGAAAGUGUGGCUAAUACGGGAUAUUCUGGGUCUGUCGCAUGAUGGGUCUGGGAAAGAUAUUGUUUCGGUGGGGGAUGGGCUCGCGGCCGAUCAGCUUGUUGGUGGGGUGAUGGCCUACCAAGGCGGUGACGGGUAGCCGGCCUGAGAGGGUGGACGGUCACACUGGGACUGAGACACGGCCCAGACUCCUACGAGAGGCAGCAGUGGGGAAUAUUGCACAAUGGGCGCAAGCCUGAUGCAGCGACGCCGCGUGAGGGAUGGAGGCCUUCGGGUUGUGAACCUCUUUCGCCAGUGAAGCAGGCCUGCCUCGUUUGUGGGUGGGUUGACGGUAGCUGGAUAAGAAGCGCCGGCUAACUACGUG